UAAGUCCCGCAACGAGCGCAACCCUCGCCCUUAGUUGCCAUCAUUCAGUUGGGCACUCUAAGGGGACUGCCGGUGAUAAGCCGAGAGGAAGGUGGGGAUGACGUCAAGUCCUCAUGGCCCUUACGGGCUGGGCUACACACGUGCUACAAUGGUGGUGACAGUGGGCAGCGAGACCGCGAGGUCGAGCUAAUCUCCAAAAGCCAUCUCAGUUCGGAUUGCACUCUGCAACUCGAGUGCAUGAAGUUGGAAUCGCUAGUAAUCGUGGAUCAGAAUGCCACGGUGAAUACGUUCCCGGGCCUU
This 300-nucleotide ribosomal RNA is filed under the name uncultured bacterium. RNAcentral describes it as "bacterial SSU rRNA". It matches the Rfam family "Bacterial small subunit ribosomal RNA", at positions 1081 to 1382 of the family's 1533-position model. The record is from RNAcentral.